This 90-nucleotide transfer RNA is filed under the name Clostridium sp. CAG:356. RNAcentral describes it as "transfer RNA-Ser(GCT)". It matches the Rfam family "tRNA". Rfam says of the family: Transfer RNA (tRNA) molecules are approximately 80 nucleotides in length. Their secondary structure includes four short double-helical elements and three loops (D, anti-codon, and T loops). RNAcentral also lists the same sequence under 1 other name. Lineage: Bacteria; Bacillati; Bacillota; Clostridia; Eubacteriales; Clostridiaceae. The record is from RNAcentral.
GGAGAUGUACCCAAGUGGUGAAGGGGACUGUUUGCUAAACAGUUAGGUCGGUAACACGGCGCGGAGGUUCGAACCCUCUCAUCUCCGCCA